UGGGGAAUAUUGCACAAUGGGCGCAAGCCUGAUGCAGCCAUGCCGCGUGUAUGAAGAAGGCCUUCGGGUUGUAAAGUACUUUCAGCGGGGAGGAAGGGAGUAAAGUUAAUACCUUUGCUCAUUGACGUUACGCGCAGAAGAAGCACCGGCUAACUCCGUGCCAGCAGCCGCGGUAAUACGGAGGGUGCAAGCGUUAAUCGGAAUUACUGGGCGUAAAGCGCACGCAGGCGGUUUGUUAAGUCAGAUGUGAAAUCCCCGGGCUCAACCUGGGAACUGCAUCUGAUACUGGCAAGCUUGAGUCUCGUAGAGGGGGGUAGAAUUCCAGGUGUAGCGGUGAAAUGCGUAGAGAUCUGGAGGAAUACCGGUGGCGAAGGCGGCCCCCUGGGCGAAGACUGACGCUCAGGUGCGAAAGCGUGGGGAGCAAACAGG
This 429-nucleotide ribosomal RNA is filed under the name Chloroflexota bacterium. RNAcentral describes it as "Chloroflexi bacterium partial 16S ribosomal RNA". It matches the Rfam family "Bacterial small subunit ribosomal RNA", at positions 355 to 776 of the family's 1533-position model. Lineage: Bacteria; Bacillati; Chloroflexota. The record is from RNAcentral.